RNAcentral lists this ribosomal RNA (253 nucleotides) under uncultured bacterium. RNAcentral's name for it is "partial 16S ribosomal RNA". It matches the Rfam family "Bacterial small subunit ribosomal RNA", at positions 524 to 776 of the family's 1533-position model. The record is from RNAcentral.
UACGUAGGGGGCAAGCGUUACCCGGAUUCACUGGGCGUAAAGCGGGUGUAGGCGGCUCGGUAAGUCGGGCGUGAAAUCCCACGGCUCAACCGUGGAAUUGCGCCCGAAACUGCUGAGCUUGGGGCCGGUAGAGGGAGACGGAACUGCCGGUGUAGGGGUGAAAUCCGUAGAUAUCGGCAGGAACGCCGGUGGGGAAGCCGGUCUCCUGGGCCGCGCCCGACGCUGAGGCCCGAAAGCUAGGGGAGCAAACCGG